UCACUGAUACUCCAGGCAUUGCUUCUGUUGCUUCAUUUCCAGAAGGGCAUUGGAAAACCCAGGUGACAAUUUGAAAUGGUUUCAGGAAGAGGCCAUUGGCAAUGUAUCCAGUGCCUGGCAUGUUUCUUGUUGUGUACCAGACAGUGGACAGAACUGCCCAUCAGACACCUGGGAAACUGGAUUAGGCAUUGGACUGGACCUUUGGAAUGGAUUCGACUGCUCCACGGAAGUUUCAGAAAUUCAGAACAAUCAUCUGGAGUUAGCAGAGAAGGUUGGUUCAAUCACUGUAACACCAACCCUUCCAAAGGGCCCAGCUGAGUUGACCCAUACUCAAAGUAUGUCAAUUUCAUGAAACCCUGAUGCUCUCUGAGCCUGGAGAGCACAAAGGACUCCACAAUUCAACCACGAGCUGCAUAUAUUCUCUUCUACAUCAAUUUCUUCAGUCAAGAAUGUGACAUUCAGUCUCUUAUAUCAAAGAUGUGUUAGAAUAUGAUUCCCAUCACCCCACAGACAUCACAGCUUGAUAUGCUAAACUGGGAAUGACAGAAGUUCAUGACCAACACAUUCAAGAGAUCUCAAGUCUUUUAAAUUUACCCAGCUUUCUAGUGCUGAUUUUCCAGCCCUCAUAUCCUUGCUCAAUAAAACUACAUUUCUAAUUUCAUGUGUAUAUAAUAGAAAAUGUACAGCUACAACAAAUUAAAUAAAUUGAUUUUGCAGGUUGGAUAAUAA
Molecule: non-coding RNA, 729 nt
Organism: Pantherophis guttatus
Lineage: Eukaryota; Metazoa; Chordata; Lepidosauria; Squamata; Colubridae
Source: RefSeq, a predicted model, not a curated record